This 292-nucleotide ribosomal RNA is filed under the name uncultured bacterium. RNAcentral's name for it is "partial 16S ribosomal RNA". It matches the Rfam family "Bacterial small subunit ribosomal RNA", at positions 505 to 796 of the family's 1533-position model. The record is from RNAcentral.
GUGUCAGCAGCCGCGGUAAUACGUAGGAGGCGAGCGUUGUCCGGAUUUACUGGGCGUAAAGGGCGCGCAGGCGGCACGCUAAGUACCUCGUGAAAUCUCCCUGCUCAACGGGGAGGGAGCGAAGUAGACUGGCGAGCUAGAGGACGGUAGAGGGGGGUAGAAUUGCUGGUGUAGCGGUGAAAUGCGUAGAGAUCAGCAGGAAUACCCGUGGCGAAGGCGGCCCCCUGGGCCGAACCUGACGCUGAGGCGCGAAGGCUAGGGGAGCGAACGGGAUUAGAUACCCCGGUAGUCC